This is a long non-coding RNA of Syngnathus typhle (broad-nosed pipefish), 436 nucleotides long. RefSeq lists it as uncharacterized. NCBI's taxonomy places the organism in Eukaryota, Metazoa, Chordata, Actinopteri, Syngnathiformes, Syngnathidae. The transcript is spliced from 3 exons. The record is from RefSeq and is a predicted model, not a curated record.
GUUUUCUUUCCAGGAACUCAUCCCCGUUUAGCCAAACGACGGGGCAUCAAACAGGAAGUUGGACGAUCAGUCAGCCAGCCAGCAGCUUGACUUUCCUCCGAGGGAGGGAAGCGUCGCGUCGCGUCACGUCUCAAACUUGAAAGACACUACGUACGGACGUAGGGAAGGGAAGGGGGCACUGCCCUAGAUGAGAUCCCUGAAGCCACCCCGUGAAUGAGUUGAGAAAAGACCCCGUCAGGCCCAAAUAAUUGGAACGUCAGUGCAUGGACGCCGGCCAGGAAGCUCAGCGGCGAAAACGGGUCGUUCCGACAGAGGGUGACGCUUCUUACUACAACGUGUUCUCUGUUCAACUUUCUGCUUCACCCUCGCUCGCCAAUACUUGACGGCAAUAUGUCGGAAAGUCUCGCUCCAAUACAAUUUAACAAGCACAGCUGAU